Molecule: ribosomal RNA, 299 nt
Filed under: uncultured bacterium
Lineage: Bacteria
Description: partial 16S ribosomal RNA
Rfam family: Bacterial small subunit ribosomal RNA
Source: RNAcentral
GGAUUAGAUACCCUGGUAGUCCACGCCCUAAACGGUGGGCACUAGGUGUAGGGCUUGUAUAAGUUCUGUGCCGAAGGGAAACCAAUAAGUGCCCCGCCUGGGGAGUACGAUCGCAAGGUUGAAACUCAAAGGAAUUGACGGGGGCCCGCACAAGCGGUGGAGCAUGUGGUUUAAUUCGACGCAACGCGAAGAACCUUACCUGGACUUGACAUAUAGGUAGUAGUAACCUGAAAAGGAAACGACUUAGAUUAUUCUAAGAGCCUGUACAGGUGCUGCAUGGCUGUCGUCAGCUCGUGUCG